GUUCUAAAUGCAUGCUUAAUUUAAGAACACCUGCAAACAGCCCUGUCCUUGGCUCCUUGCUACUAAUGGAGAGGGCAACACCUCACACACAAACAGUAAGAUAGACUUCGGAGACACUACAUGUUGAACAGGCAGAACUUGUCCAAACAGACUCAUGUGAUGGGAACAUUAUGAAAAAAAUGUUGAGCCAUAAGGUGACUACCUGGUAGAGCCUGACCUUCUCUUAACAGAACCCCACUGAGCAGUCCUACAAUAUAAAACAAUCAUGAACAUCAACUCAUGGCCCAUAAAGAACAUGGUCAACAUGAAAAUUUAUUCAUUUUCUGCAACAGAUAUAUAGCCUAUUAUACCAAGUAUACAAAGCAUUUCAAGGGGGUACAUUCCCAAAGCGCAUGAACAUGCUUGCUUUUAUAGCCAAGCAACUCAUUUUUUUCCUCAGCUACGUGCACCCCAUUCACAAAACUAAAUUAACAAUUCAUAACCCCAAUGUCAUCCAUAUAUAAUUGGCCACCAGCAGCAGAUAACACAAAAAACAAAACAAAAUAAAAAUAAUAACCAAGCAAGGUUAAUUGAAUCACCGAUAUGGUUACAUUUAACCAUUACAAAAAGAAAGAAAUAUGUACCUUCACAGUUGAUUGCAAGAUAAUAGCCCAAUCAUUCUACAAUAUCUUCUCCAAGGAAUUAUUUCCCUCUCGCUCGCUCCUUCAACGUAGUGCUUAUUGCAAUCAAAUUAAACAAGCAGUACUUGUUACUAAUCUCGCCUUCACUUAUUCUAACAAAUAAACACGACCGACACUCCUAAGCAAAUUACCAUUGCCAUACUGUUGCAAACAAAAAUAAACAUUUUUUUUCUUUUUAAUUACCUGCUGCCUCCGUUCCAGCGGCACAACAAUAGAUCAAGUGCACGUGAGAAAUUGACUCUGUUCUAAGGCAAAUUGAUGUGUCUAAUUGCUAAACUUCCACAACCACCCAAUAUCUUUUCCAGUUGGUUCCCGUUGUCAUGUAUCCGCCGUGAAUUUUACCUGCAUCGUUUCUGCCUUUAUCGGGAGAUACCAAAACUUUAAACUUCACAAUAGCAAUUUCUAGGGGAAAUUGAUCGUCAUUUCUGGGGGUGAAAAAGAAUUCAAUUAUCGGAUUUUCUGGGGGAGGAAACGAUUUUGAUGAUCUUAAUUCCUUAUUGGGGUGUGAAAAAUCUUUUGAUGAAGGCCUCUGGUGGACGCUUAUUUAACAUUUUUU
Molecule: long non-coding RNA, 1236 nt
Filed under: Citrus x clementina
Lineage: Eukaryota; Viridiplantae; Streptophyta; Magnoliopsida; Sapindales; Rutaceae
Description: Citrus clementina (C. clementina) long non-coding RNA (CCLE_LNC001106)
Source: RNAcentral